UGAAAUUGCACGCUUUCCUGGGUGCUCCACCUACUUGUUAAUUUUGCAAUUUCAGGACUGUUAUAUGCUGUAAUACUUAAUAACUCUUCAUUUUAUCACCCAGAUAGUAAGGUAUUUAUGUCAUACUACUCUGCUGAUCUUCUUUGUCUUUGUUUUAUUUUUAUUUUUCAGAUGGUGUGUAAAUCUUUUUGAAUAUGGGCCUGCAGAUAAGUUAAACGGGAGAAGGAGCGCUGACAGACAUAGAGGCGAAGAGGAACUAUAUUAAUCUUAAUUGCUCAUUGGAAAUAUAACAAACUGCUCCUAGAUUCUUUACUGUGAGGUAACUUUGGAAAGAAGAAGUUAAUUCUUUCUUGAUAUCUAAAAAAACAAAUAUUGUAAACCACAAAAUAGGCUAAAAAAUUACUUAAAGUAGACCAGAGGGAGUAAUAUUUAAUCAAUACAGUUACCUAUAAUAAUUAUUUAAAUAAUCUGAUAUAAUAUAAAUAUACAGAAGUUAUAGUCCAUAUCUAGCCCUUAGGGGUCAUUUGGGAUGAGUGAUAAGGUGGGAUAAGGCGUAAGAUUAAAUUUAUACUGUUAUAAAUUUAUAUCUCCAACCAAACAAGGUAUAAAUUUAAUCCUAGAUUUAAUCUAGGAUAUCCCAUCUUAUCCCAUCAAAUGUGGGAUUAUUUUAUCUCAUCUCUCAUGUAGUAUAAAUUAGUACCGGGAAUUCCGGGAUAAUUUAGUCCGUGUUACACGACCACUUAUAUAUUCAGCCACAAUCAUAUCAAUUCCUCCGUCUCUUCUUCCUAUCAUAUCCUUCAAAAAUUUGAUUUGCCAUUUUUUUCAAUCCUAAAACUUAAUUCCCAUAUUAAUUAUGUCCAGAAUGGUCAACAUAAAACUACAUUGUCAUUGCAUACUCUUCUUUAUCUUACUUUCUUCAGCUGCAGUUUCACAAGGUUCCAUAACUAACACAUAAUAUUGCAUCUCAUUCAUUGAGUUUCAAGCUUCAACAUUAGAAUUAAUUCCUCAAAACUUUAUUUUAUGUAAUAUAGUUUCUGUUGCCGCAGGGUCAAGAAGUCAAGUGACAAUUUCUCAUCAUCGAAAAGCCAGCGGCAUGUUUGCAGCCCAUAGAGAAUUACAAUUGAAGGUAGAAAUACGCGCACAUUUUCUUGUACAUGUAUUUAUUUUAACUCGUAUACAAUUACAGUGUC
Molecule: long non-coding RNA, 1190 nt
Filed under: Nicotiana tabacum (common tobacco)
Lineage: Eukaryota; Viridiplantae; Streptophyta; Magnoliopsida; Solanales; Solanaceae
Description: long non-coding RNA (NTAB_LNC003555)
Source: RNAcentral